This 1256-nucleotide long non-coding RNA is filed under the name Sus scrofa (pig). RNAcentral's name for it is "lncRNA (ENSSSCG00065001663.1)". The record is from RNAcentral. Lineage: Eukaryota; Metazoa; Chordata; Mammalia; Artiodactyla; Suidae.
GUCUGUUUUGCUUUACUGGUGCAGUCUUGUAAAUGAGCAUAGCUUUUAAAAGUUUGUACCAACACAUUCAGACAGUCUGAUAAAUAUUUUGCUAUACAUUAAUUUUAUUUGUAACAUUUAAAAUUGCACAUUAUUCCCUGAGAGUAGUUAUUUACAAAUUACAGAAUACCAUUUAUAGUAAUUAUACUUGAAAAAAAAAUACUGCCAUAGAUUUCCAAAUUUAUCUUCUUGUACUGAAAACUCGAGUUAACUGGAAAAAAGUUGAGAAACAAUAUAUUGCCAUAAACCUUAUUCUGAAAUGAUCCUAAAAAGUUUGAGACUAAAUUUUGAAAGCAAAGAAAAAAUAAGGAGAGUGAAAAUAUAAAAGCUGGAAAAUCUAAUUAAAGAAAGUUGUUAUCACUGGUGAAAAUUUUCUGAACAUUUCAAUGAAGUUUCUCUUAUCAAUAUGCUUUUCUUUUCUUCCAAAGAUGUUCAAAAUGUUUGUAAUUCUAAUGUUUGUAAAACAAUAUUUAAAAAUCCUUUUGACAUGAAACACUAUGGUCAUUAAAAAAUGUGUAUAUGCUAAAUGCAAUUAGUGCUUGUUUUUGGUUACACAGUUUAACCUGAUGCUACCUGCUCUAAUGCAUACUUGGCAGCAUUUCAAAAAACCAAACAGAUGUUUUCUGUUUCCCAUAGAAAGAAGGAGUGCCUGUGUGUUUGUGUGAGGAGGGUCUCAAGCCAUCCACUGAGAGUUCCAGAUGGCUCACAAUGCUACCUAUACCUUUAUUUUCAGUCGUGAUGCAUUCCAACAAAUACUCAUUGAAAACCAAUUUCCUGGAGAGAAUAGAGAAGAUGACAGAAUAGGAGGAUGCAGAUCUUGUCUCCUCUUAAGAGCACAUCAAAAAUACAUAUGCAUGUGGAAUAUUCUCACUGAAAACUAACUGGAGUCUUGCAGAGACUUAAACUGAAGCCAAUAAGAAAGAUACACAGAGUUGCACAGUAAGUCAAGAGAACCUAUAAAAUCUUGGGAACACCAUCCCUGGGAGGGGAUACAAAAGGGGAGAAUUACAGGGGGCUACUUUCUGAUGAGUGAAUGGUUUGAAUCACAUAUUGGGCUCCCUAGUAAUGGGUGUAACAAUGGGAAGAUGAGUCCCCUUAGCUGGUUUGAAAACCAGUAGGACCAACAACAGACCUAGACUCCACUCAUGAAAAACAAGGCUGAGGAAGCAGAUUGAAACUGCCCAGGACUCUGGCUGGUUUCCUGUGACAGCUCAGUG